RNAcentral lists this transfer RNA (68 nucleotides) under Haplosialis sp. Its description in RNAcentral is "tRNA-Leu". Lineage: Eukaryota; Metazoa; Arthropoda; Insecta; Megaloptera; Sialidae. The record is from RNAcentral.
AUUACAUUGGCAGAAUAGUGUGUUAAAUUUAGAAUUUAAUUAAAUAAUAAUUUAUAUUAUAUGUAAUA